Schizosaccharomyces pombe (fission yeast) is the source of this 226-nucleotide non-coding RNA. NCBI's taxonomy places the organism in Eukaryota, Fungi, Ascomycota, Schizosaccharomycetes, Schizosaccharomycetales, Schizosaccharomycetaceae. The record is from the annotation of a GenBank genome assembly.
AUUUACUAAAGAAGUAGGCUGGAUGUUGAAAUUAAAAGCAGAAAAGAUUGGGAUAAACCUGAUUUAAUUAAUCAAUUAAACAACAUUUUUAAAGGCAGAAUUUGAAAGAUGCACUAUGUGAUGCCUAAACAAUAAAUCGGAGAAAAACAGUUACAAAUAAAUGAAAUAGACAAAAAAUUUGGACUUGGUAUAAUCUUAGAAACGUAAAAUAAUUUGAUUAGUUUUU